AGCGAACGCUGGCGGCAGGCCUAACACAUGCAAGUCGAACGAACUCUUCGGAGUUAGUGGCGGACGGGUGAGUAACACGUGGGAACGUGCCUUUAGGUUCGGAAUAACUCAGGGAAACUUGUGCUAAUACCGAAUGUGCCCUUCGGGGGAAAGAUUUAUCGCCUUUAGAGCGGCCCGCGUCUGAUUAGCUAGUUGGUGAGGUAAAGGCUCACCAAGGCGACGAUCAGUAGCUGGUCUGAGAGGAUGAUCAGCCACAUUGGGACUGAGACACGGCCCAAACUCCUACGGGAGGCAGCAGUGGGGAAUCUUGCGCAAUGGGCGAAAGCCUGACGCAGCCAUGCCGCGUGAAUGAUGAAGGUCUUAGGAUUGUAAAUUCUUUCACCGGGGACGAUAAUGACGGUACCCGGAGAAGAAGCCCG
This 419-nucleotide ribosomal RNA is filed under the name Brevundimonas vesicularis. Its description in RNAcentral is "bacterial SSU rRNA". It matches the Rfam family "Bacterial small subunit ribosomal RNA", at positions 29 to 494 of the family's 1533-position model. The record is from RNAcentral. Lineage: Bacteria; Pseudomonadati; Pseudomonadota; Alphaproteobacteria; Caulobacterales; Caulobacteraceae.